Molecule: unclassified non-coding RNA, 338 nt
Filed under: soil metagenome
Description: partial contains 5.8S ribosomal RNA, internal transcribed spacer 2, and large subunit ribosomal RNA
Rfam family: 5.8S ribosomal RNA (bases 1-120)
Source: RNAcentral
GAUGAAGAACGUAGCGAAAUGCGAUAAGUAAUGCGAAUUGCAGAAUUCCGUGAGUCAUCGAAUCUUUGAACGCACAUUGCGACCUCUGGUAUUCCGGAGGGCAUGCCUGUCUGAGCGUCAUUGUCAACCCUCAAGCUCAGCUUGCUGUUGGGUCCCCGUCGUUGCUUUAACGGCGGACCCGAAAGGUAAUGGCAGAGUCCGUGAGACCCUAGACGCAGCGAGCUUCUAGCACGCGUCUGGACGUUUUUCGGGCUCGGUCUUAACUAGAUGAUAACUUCCGAUUGACCUCAGAUCAGGUAGGGAUACCCGCUGAACUUAAGCAUAUCAAUAAGCGGGGA